AAGAAUAAAUAAAGAAAGAGCCGCUAACUACUUUCUAAGUGUUAAACACUUUAUUCUUA
RNAcentral lists this transfer RNA (59 nucleotides) under Pyrops lathburii. RNAcentral's name for it is "tRNA-Ser". The record is from RNAcentral. Lineage: Eukaryota; Metazoa; Arthropoda; Insecta; Hemiptera; Fulgoridae.